AGUUGUUAGUGUUAACCACAGACAGUGAAGAACAUACUUUCACAUUGAACUGAAUCUAGUAAUCUAGUAUCUAGUAUUACAUUAGCAGCAAUUGGCAAAAGUCUCAUGGUAGCAUCUAAUUUCUCUUGAUGAAGGACUCGUACAGGGAGGUGAGCUGAGCCUGCAGAUCCUGUGCGUAGGGAUCCAGCUUUUCCUUCAGGUCUUCAGCGUAGGGUGUGAGACUCUGCUGGACCAUCUGGGCUCUCUCUCUAAUCUGGGCCUGAAGAUCCUCAGCCAGGGGGGCCACAG
Long non-coding RNA from Carassius gibelio (silver crucian carp), 288 nucleotides. RefSeq lists it as uncharacterized. Lineage: Eukaryota; Metazoa; Chordata; Actinopteri; Cypriniformes; Cyprinidae. The record is from RefSeq and is a predicted model, not a curated record. The transcript is spliced from 2 exons.